GACAGAGGUGCCAAGCGUUAGGCGGAAUCACUGGGCUUAAAGCGUGUGUAGGCGGAAUUGUAAGUACCUUGUGAAAUCCCACGGCUCAACCGUGGAACUGCUCGGUAUACUGCUUUUCUUGAGCCACUUAGGGGCUGUCGGAACAAACGGUGGAGCGGUGAAAUGCGCAGAUAUCAGGAGGAACACCGGUGGCGAAGGCGGUUCUCUGGGCAUGUCCUGACGCUGAGGAGCGAAAGUGUGGGGAGCGAACAGG
RNAcentral lists this ribosomal RNA (253 nucleotides) under uncultured bacterium. RNAcentral describes it as "partial 16S ribosomal RNA". It matches the Rfam family "Bacterial small subunit ribosomal RNA", at positions 524 to 776 of the family's 1533-position model. The record is from RNAcentral.